GAUGAACGCUGGCGGCGUGCCUAAUACAUGCAAGUCGAGCGAACAGACGAGGAGCCUGCUUCUCUGACGUUAGCGGCGGACGGGUGAGUAACACGUGGAUAACCUACCUAUAAGACUGGGAUAACUUCGGGAAACCGGAGCUAAUACCGGAUAAUAUAUUGAACCGCAUGGUUCAAUAGUGAAAGACGGUUUUGCUGUCACUUAUAGAUGGAUCCGCGCCGCAUUAGCUAGUUGGUAAGGUAACGGCUUACCAAGGCAACGAUGCGUAGCCGACCUGAGAGGGUGAUCGGCCACACUGGAACUGAGACACGGUCCAGACUCCUACGGGAGGCAGCAGUAGGGAAUCUUCCGCAAUGGGCGAAAGCCUGACGGAGCAACGCCGCGUGAGUGAUGAAGGUCUUCGGAUCGUAAAACUCUGUUAUUAGGGAAGAACAAAUGUGUAAGUAACUAUGCACGUCUUGACGGUACCUAAUCAGAAAGCCACGGCUAACUACGUG
RNAcentral lists this ribosomal RNA (497 nucleotides) under uncultured bacterium. RNAcentral's name for it is "partial 16S ribosomal RNA". It matches the Rfam family "Bacterial small subunit ribosomal RNA", at positions 28 to 507 of the family's 1533-position model. The record is from RNAcentral.